Molecule: ribosomal RNA, 497 nt
Filed under: uncultured bacterium
Lineage: Bacteria
Description: partial 16S ribosomal RNA
Rfam family: Bacterial small subunit ribosomal RNA
Source: RNAcentral
GAUGAACGCUGGCGGCGUGCCUAAUACAUGCAAGUCGAGCGAACAGACGAGGAGCUUGCUCCUCUGACGUUAGCGGCGGACGGGUGAGUAACACGUGGAUAACCUACCUAUAAGACUGGGAUAACUUCGGGGAACCGGAGCUAAUACCGGAUAAUAUAUUGAACCGCAUGGUUCAAUAGUGAAAGACGGUUUUGCUGUCACUUAUAGAUGGAUCCGCGCCGCAUUAGCUAGUUGGUAAGGUAACGGCUUACCAAGGCAACGAUGCGUAGCCGACCUGAGAGGGUGAUCGGCCACACUGGAACUGAGACACGGUCCAGACUCCUACGGGAGGCAGCAGUAGGGAAUCUUCCGCAAUGGGCGAAAGCCUGACGGAGCAACGCCGCGUGAGUGAUGAAGGUCUUCGGAUCGUAAAACUCUGUUAUUAGGGAAGAACAAAUGUGUAAGUAACUAUGCACGUCUUGACGGUACCUAAUCAGAAAGCCACGGCUAACUACGUG